Molecule: long non-coding RNA, 7379 nt
Filed under: Eucalyptus grandis
Lineage: Eukaryota; Viridiplantae; Streptophyta; Magnoliopsida; Myrtales; Myrtaceae
Description: long non-coding RNA (EGRA_LNC002057)
Source: RNAcentral
CGCUUUUUACCUGAAAAUCGAACUGAGAUACGUGAUCUUUGAUCUCCAACAAUAAUGCAAUGUCGUUACAGUUGUUCAGCUGAGUAAAAGGUAGCACGAUGAUCAAUUUUCCAGCAUUAAUUGUAUCUGAAAUUGAGUCCACUUGGCUCAGAGAAGGUGCUUGGUCAUGCAAGAAAAAGAAAAGGCAGAAAGCAAUGACAGAUGCUGUACGCAUACAACUCACGGAUACAUACAGCUGUUUAUGUCGGUAGGACAUGAUUGAGACAAUAGAUCAUUAGAAACCAAAGACCAAAUCACAGAUUAUUAGUCGAGCAUAGAGAAAUGGCUUUUGCUGCUUCACUUGGGAUUCUCUUCAAACCUUCCAAUCCUAAAAUGCUCGAGCUCCACCCCAUCUGCAUGCCCAGUGAGUGCGAGGUCCGCCAGUAUCUUCCCUACCGCUGGAGCCAUCUUGAAUCCGUGACCCGAAAACCCACCACCUAUCACCACAUCCUCCCUGAACUCCCCUCCCAAGAAAUCGAUCACAUAAUCCUCGUCCGGUGUCAUCGAGUACAUACAGGUCUGCAUGGACACGGGUGCGCAGCCAUCCACCAGUCCCAGAAAUCUCCCCUUGAUCCACUCUUUCAGGGAAUCCAACUCCAGCUCGGGCCUCCACUGCCUUCUAUCGGGAUCACACUGGCAUCCGUCGUGCAGUGUGAUCUUGAUCAGCCCCGGGAAUUCCAAGGACGGCGUCCCGUAUACACCCACAUCUCCAUAGCCGAUGAACGUCGGGAAAUUGCCUCCGAUGGCAUAUUUCUCCUCGUGACCCUCCUUGAUCUUCCAAUAACACACUGUGGCGUGCACGGGUUGAAUCGGCAAUUCAAACCCAGCGAUUGAACGAACCAGCUUCCUGGUCCAAGCCCCAGCAGUGACCACACAUUUCCUGCACCAGAACUUGUCGCCCCUGGUGGUACAGACCACUAUGCCUCCUUUCACUUCAUCUCUCCUAAUUUCCUUCACUUCCAUGUUGUCCCUCAGCACAGCUCCCUUUUGAAAUGCGAGCGCUUGGAACAUGGACACCGCUUUUGUCGGCUUAAUGACACCGCCAAGCUCAGUAUACACCGCAAUCCAAUCCUCUGGUAUGCUGAGCUUUCCGGAGAAUUUGUCAGCGAAUUGGCCAUGGUCUAGAAUCUGAUAAGGGAAUGAGUUCUUAUCACAGUUCGCUAUGACUGCUUUGAGGCUAGCACUCCCCCCUGGCCCCAUGUCAAGAUGGUCGGUGUCAGUGUAGACGCUGUAGCCCGCCUCUGACUCGGCCUCUCUCCACAGUUUCGAGGACUCCACGGCCAUCUUGGUGUAGUAGUCCUUCUUGUACGUCGCGCGCAUCCCGCGAGACUCGCCGUGCGAAGAGCCACGGUGGUGCAGGAAGUCGAACUGCUCGAGUAAGAGUGUCUUCUGACCUCUUUUGGCAGUUUGGUAAGCCGUGGAGCUGCCCAUGACGCCUCCACCGAUCACUAUCACGUCGAACUCAAUUCUGCAAGAAGAAUCCAUAGCUCUGUACUGUGUGUGCGUCUCUCUCUCUCUCUCUCUCAACCUGGUUAAGCUAAAUUACGCUGGUUUGGUUUGAACAUAUAAGCAAAAGAAGACUGACUAGUCCUGGACUACCAUGGCCUAGCGGCGGACGUGGCCUCCGAGCACCAGAUUUGAUACUUAUACCACCAAGGAAAGCUAGACGAAAUUUUUCACAGCACCAUAGUCGGACUAUUGCGACAUGUCCCUUCAGUCACGAUAAAACAAAAGCAAAAUUACGACAUUCGCAAUGCUUUAGGCAAUGCAUAGUUAUUUUGAAAAUGAAUUUGACUUGAAUGAUUUGUUGCCAAAACGUUUACAAAGCUUUUUUCCAUUCAAGGUGAGUUGCGAGGAAAGUCGCUUCUCGACCUAAACAUCCGCCUCUCUUGAAUUGACAUAGUCUUCUUUUUGUUAUUUUUAGAUUCACAUAAACUUUACCUAAGUUUUAAUCAGAAGAAGUAUACCCCAAGUGCCAAAACUUAGCUCGGAGGAACACUUAAAGUGGCAAAAGUUAGAAAAGUGAUACUUAAGUGUCAUUUCCGGCGAAUUCCGUCGAAAAUCUUACGUGACAAUUUUUUAUUAUUUUUCUCACCUAUGUAACUCGCCGAAAAGUUGACUCAGCAAAAAAACACAAAAACAACGUCGUUUUUGCACGGAUUUGAAUUUUAAUAUAAAAAUUAAUUAAAUUAAAUUAUAAAAAUAAUUAAAUAAUAAUGAAAUGAGAAGGAAAGGAGAAGGCGGCUGAGGGCUAAGCCCUCACCGUCACUGCCUCCUCUCUCUCCCUUUUUAAAUUUUUUUUUAAUGUUUUAAAUAAAUUUAAUUUUAAAUUUAAUUUAAUUAAUUUUUAUAUUAAUUAUUUAUCACAUCAUAGACAAAACGACGUCAUUUUACAUUUCUAGUCAUGUCAGCAUACAAAUGACGUCGUUUUGUACUUACCUCGUCGGAAAAUUGUUAUUUUAGCAUUUUAAUCGGAUUUUCUCACAAUUAGCACUUAAGUGAUCCAUUUUGCUUCGAUUUUAACACUUAAGUGUCACUUUUCUAACUUUUGAUACUUAAGUAUCACUCUGUGCCAAGUUUUAGCACUCCAAGUGUUCUGCACUCUAAGUCAAUCGCCCUCUUUCAUUUUUUUAAAUACUUGUGUUGGUAAGCUUGCUCUUUGGGCAAUGUUAAUAAUCCAAUCGAUUACAUCAGUAAACAAUGACAGAGGCUUGGAUAUGUACAUGGUUAUGCAUUUUUAGUCAACUCAAGAGUAGCAAAGAGGGAUCUUGCUUCUUCCCCGAAACGCCGGUCUAAACGAAAGUUCAGUGCUCUUUCCAAGGAAAAAUGUUUUUGAUUGGAAGAUGAUAUGAUGAUGGAUUGGGACAGAGAGUGACAUGUUUGUUCAGGGAACAACAAGAUAUUUCCUCCAGCCCACUUGCAAUAAGCUUUUUCAUUGCAAUUAUUUUUAUGCAAAAGACAACUUCUCUACAUAAAGUCACAACCCUUAUCAUAUCUUAGUACUACCCUUGGAUAAGGAUAAUGAUGCCGCCUUACAUAUUUAUUGAGAUUAAUUAUUAAAUCCAGUGAUCAUGACCAUUCAUUUUAAAAUUUGCUAUCUUUUAUAGUGCUAUUAAAGUUAUCUUGAACUUACUUGCUCUUGGGGGGAUUCAUCAUACCCUUAUAUAGGUUUGCUUCCUCAACCUAGUAAUUUUGUAUGCUUUUCAAUCAAAUCCUUUGAUGUGAUAGCUAAUGCUUUUAUGUCUCAUUAUACAUCUACUUUUUUGAAGAGAGAUCACGAUGAAUGAUAUUAGGUCUGCUUUGUUGAAAGACAUUAGAAGAAUGUUAAGCUCUCAUUUUAAGUGUGAGCAUACCUUGCGAAAAGGAAAUUAUGUUGCCGAUUGGUUUGUCAAUCUUGAAAUAAAGACACACUUGGACACUAUGUUCUAUUCACAGCCUCCAAGAGUUUUUUUUUUUUUUUUUUGGUCGAGUCCUAGAGAGUUUUUUUUUUUUUGUCAGUCUUACUCUAUGCAUAUUCUACACUCACUCUCAGACUUUUGCCCGAGUCCUAGAGAGUUGAUUCAUGCUUUGUUAGGUGGUGAAAUAGAGACAAUAAAUUUUUAGAUGUUAUUUUUUUUUGUUUACAUUUAUUUACCUAAAAAAGAAAACAAGAAGUUUAUUAUUGUCUAAAAACAAUCAACAAGCGGACUUAGCUUGCUAUACCAAACCUAAAAAUCUCUUCCUAGAUCAACCCCAUGAUUAAUUUUUUUUCUUGGUAUUGGUGAGUUGAGCCUUUAAAGGAAAUUAUUUCUUAACGCUUGUCUAUUUAACUCUUUAGAUCAAUCGGGCUAAAUCGGGUUGUUAGACGAGCGUAUUACUUCCUUUUACCUAUGAACUUUAGCUUUGAAUUAGUUCAUCUAACAAGCAAAAAUUCAUGAUCAUAGUUUAGGAAGAUUUUGGAUCUCUACAUUCACUAAAUUCUAAGAGUUAGUAAGGGAGUGCAUGACAACCCAAAAUUUCUGUUCCAGAAAUAGUUUUUAUGUUCCAGACCUGUUUCUGGAAGAGAAAUCCAUUUGAUAAACUUAUUCAGUUUUUCUAUUUCUGGAAUAGAUUUCUAUUCCAGAAAUAAGUUUGGAAGAGAAAUCAGAAGCUAAAAUUUUAUACUUCUGAUUUCUGAAAGAGAAAUCAAAAAUAAUUUCUCUCACUAAACCUAAUUUCGGUGAGUCCUCCCUCAUCUCCUCUACGUCUUUGCCUCCUCCUCUUCCUCCGCCUCUCCUCAUUUUAUUAAAAAUAAAAAUAAAUGUAUUCAUUUUAUUCAUUUAAAAAUAAAAAUAAAUUUAUUAAAAUAAAUAAAAAUAAUUUAUUUUUAUUAAAAAUAAAUUUAUUAUUAUUUACCUUGAGUGUUUUGCCAAAUCAAUUUUUUUUUAUUUUUUGUUUUUAUUCAUUUUAAAAUAAAUUUAUUCAUAAAAUAAAAUCAAAUAAAUAAAAUAAAAUAAAAUUUAUUUUUAUAUUUUUAUUUUAAAAUAAAAUGAUAUUUUUAUUUUAUUUUUUUGUGAUUUAUUUUAUUUUAUUUUAUUCAUUAUUUUUUUUUGUCACUAAAUCAUUUUUAUUUUUAUUUUUUAUAUUAAAGGUCGUCUGUCGUCGCCACCGCCGUCCGAAAGGAAGAAAUUUUGUGUCGUUAUUAAACGAAUUUCUAUUUUUAGAGUAGAAAUUUUGUGUCGUUAUCAAACAGUUAUUUUUGCUUAGAAACUCUUCUAGAAAUAGAAAUAGAAAAAUCUAUUUCUGUUUCAGAAACAAUUUCUGGAAUAUAAUAGUUGUCAUGCGCACCCUUUCCCACCUAAAAGUUACCAAUUUUAGUAGUUUAUACUUAAUCAAAGUCUUAUCUAUCCUAUAUCAAUAUUUAUUUAAAUCCUGCUCCAUAAUGAAAUUACCGAGAUCUGUCCAUCUCUUCGAAAGCAAUCAUGGCAUUAAUACCAAUCUUGACUUUCCUCUGUCAUGGCCUUUUUGUGGAAGUCAUGAAUGCGAUGCUACAAUUUCCCCAAAACGCAAUUGCUCUCAUGUUGCCGGCUGAGAUCUGUCCAUCUCUUCGAGAGCAAUCAUGGCAUUAAUACCAAUCUUGACUUUCCUCUGUCAUGGCCUUUUUGUGGAAGUCAUGAAUGCGAUGCUACAAUUUCCCCAAAACGCAAUUGCUCUCAUGUUGCCGGCUUCGCUAGAUUCUUGGAAGCCCAAACACCCUUUGCAAAGCCAAUUUCAAACGCAGCAUUUAUCUUGGUUUGCAAUGUGAUGUUCUUAAUUAGCUUAAUGCACCUGAUUUGUUGGCUUGUGAGCGAAUUCUUUGCAAAUUGAAUAUUUAUUUAGGAAGUACUCUUAACAAGUGUCUCAAGACAGCAUCUUGUGGACACUUGUUAACAUAACUUAAAAUCCCAUUUUGAAUUUUAUUUGCUUUAUAUUACAGCCAUCGCUUAGAGCAGCGGAAUUGGUGCCUUCAACCUUUCUAUACAUCUGUUUGCUUCUACUUAUUCUUUUAAUCUUGUCGAUAGCAUGUCGAGUGAUGUGAGUCAGUCUGCGCAUCUCAUGCAUGCGGUUCGAUUCGAAUACAGCAGCCACUACUUGCUGUAGAUAUAUGAUGAUGGCGAGAGUGAGUGAAGAACUUUGGGACGACGGUGGAGCUUAUGGCCAAUACGAUCAAGUCACUUGUGUCGGCGUGACGAAGUCAGGUGAUCCAAAUCAAUGCAUCGGAGGCGGGACGGUGGUGGCGAAGAUUGCGGAUGUUUGCCGGCCCAUCUUGUUUCAGAGAACUAUUGAUAUGACGCAAGAAGCAUUUCACUAACACAGCAAGUCCUAACAAUCUGCCUCUCAGCAUAACAUAUAGCCCGUGGUCCUUGUUCAUACAUUGUGUUCAUAUACUAGCGGCCGUUUUUUUUUCUUUUUAUGUAUAUCUAUACUUAAAUUAAGUCAUAGUAAUUUCUUGAUUGCAUUCAAGGCACGUCUCUCUCUUGUUGCAAUGCUAGAACAGCAUUUAUCACUUUGUAUUCAAGGCACAUCUCUCAGCCUUGAAUGUUCAAUAUUAUCAUUGAAUUCGAAUUAAUAGAAUAUGUUCAUACAAUUUAAGGAUUAAAUUGAGUAUGAACUUUUUAUAGAGCUAAAAUUUAACAAUCAUAUCGAAUAAAUUAAAAAAUUAAAAACACGUCACAUAUUAAAUUAAGAAUUUAUGAUCGUCACAAAAGAAGCCUUUGAGAUCCCAAGUGGGACACAGUCAACCAAUAAAGCCAAUGGCACCACGAGCCACAGACCUGGUUUUGUCUCUCAUGACAUUCUUACGGUUCACUAUCUUGCUCUUCAGAACCUCCGCUCAGAGAUAUGGGAUCGCUACCUUUUACACUUCACCUUACAAGCGUAAGGCAUUUCGUUGUGUUUGUUUCUGCUGUUAACAGUAUCUUGUUCAACUGUACUGAUGGGAGAAGGUGUUUUUUUCUAUGUGUCGAGAUAAUGCAGCCUUGCUUGUUAUGGCUUUGAACAUCAGGGAAUGAUGAUAGCAGCAGCAAGCGAAGCAAUUUGGAACGGCGGCGCCACUUGUGGCCAACACUACCAAGUCACGUGCCUCAGCGGGAUGAACCUAGGCAUCCCAAAGCCAUGCCGUGGAAGCACUUUGGUGGUGAUGCAGAUUGUGGACCGCUGCCCUGCCAAUGCGUGCCGAGGAACUAUUCAUUUGUCACAAGAAGCAUCUGCAUCUAUAGCGGUUCCAAAUGCCGGAGCUAUUAACAUAAAUUAUUAGAAGUAUGUGGAUCUUGUUCCCUGUAAUUUGCGAGGCUAUUGUACGAUUAUUGCCGUGACAUAAGGCUGAACUGGUUCGAUUAAGAUCCUGUGCUGGAGUAACUUCUGAUGGAAAUGGAACCAUUCCCCAAAUAAGGAAAACCCACUGAAGUUUAGCAUCAACUCCUUGUGAAGUUCUUUAAUUUUUUUAAUGCUUUUGGCAAAUGUAGUAAAUUAUGUUUUUGCCUUGUCUUCUCCUUGAGCGAGCUAUGUUUGUUAAUCUGGUCAUAUACUCCACAUGACUUACUAUCAGUCCGAACAGGAAAAGCUCAAAAGCAUUCGAUCUUAACCUUUCGUACUCGGUUCCAGUCAUAACGUCCAUUGGCACUGUCACUAACGAUCUUUCGCUUUUCACCUGAAAAUCGAACUGAGAUACGUGAUCUUUGAGCUCCAACAAUAAUGCAAUGUCGUUACAGUUGUUCAGCUGAGUAAAAGGAAGCACGAUGAUCGAUUUUCCAGCAUUAAUUGUAUCUGAAAUUGAUUCCACUUGGCUCAGAGAAGGUGCUUGGUCAUGCAAGAAAAAGAAAAGGCAGAAAGCAAUGACAGAU